Molecule: ribosomal RNA, 377 nt
Filed under: uncultured organism
Description: bacterial SSU rRNA
Rfam family: Bacterial small subunit ribosomal RNA
Source: RNAcentral
CGUAGGGACCGAGCGUUGUCCGGAUUCAUUGGGCGUAAAGAGCUCGUAGGCGGCUGUUCAAGUCGAACGUGAAAACUCGGGGCUCAACUCCGAGCCUGCGUUCGAUACUGGACGGCUAGAGUCUGGUAGGGGGAUCUGGAAUUCCUGGUGUAGCGGUGGAAUGCGCAGAUAUCAGGAGGAACACCGGUGGCGAAGGCGGGAUCCUGGGCCAGUACUGACGCUGAGGAGCGAAAGACGUGGGGAGGCAAACAAGGAUUAGAUACCCUGGUAGUCCACGCCGUAAACGAAUGGGCGCUAGGUGUGGGAGGUCAUCGACUCCUUCCGUGCCGCAGCUAACGCAUUAAGCGCCCCGCCCUGGGAGUACGGCCGCAAGGCUA